AACCCUGAUCCAGCCAUGCCGCGUGAGUGAAGAAGGCCUUCGGGUUGUAAAGCUCUUUCGGCCGGGAAGAAAUCGUGCGGGCUAAUACCCUGUAUGGAUGACGGUACCGGAAGAAGAAGCACCGGCUAACUACGUGCCAGCAGCCGCGGUAAUACGUAGGGUGCGAGCGUUAAUCGGAAUUACUGGGCGUAAAGCGUGCGCAGGCGGUUUCGUAAGACAGAUGUGAAAUCCCCGGGCUUAACCUGGGAACUGCGUUUGUGACUGCGAGACUUGAGUGCGGCAGAGGGGGGUGGAAUUCCACGUGUAGCAGUGAAAUGCGUAGAGAUGUGGAGGAACACCGAUGGCGAAGGCAGCCCCCUGGGUCGACACUGACGCUCAUGCACGAAAGCGUGGGGAGCAAACAGGAUUAGAUACCCUGGUAGUCCACGCCCUAAACGAUGCGAACUAGGUGUUGGGGAAGGAGACUUCUUUAGUACCGUAGCUAACGCGUGAAGUUCGCCGCCUGGNGAGUACGGGUCGCAAGAUUAAAACUCAAAGG
This 538-nucleotide ribosomal RNA is filed under the name uncultured bacterium. RNAcentral describes it as "bacterial SSU rRNA". It matches the Rfam family "Bacterial small subunit ribosomal RNA", at positions 379 to 907 of the family's 1533-position model. The record is from RNAcentral.